UUCCUCCAGGCUGAAAUAUCAAAAAUAAACAGGGCUUCAUUCCACAAUUACAGCCUAACUGGGAUAUUCCAUCUUAUUUCCUGCUGCCUUGAGGAUCUGGAGUCUAGCCCAGCUGUCAUUGGGCGAGAGGCGAGGUACACCCUGGACAAGCUGCAAGUCUAUCAUAGGACUAACAAGAGGACAAAGCAGAUGCAUGCAGAGGGAGACGAUGCAAACUCCAAACAGAAAGGCGGCAGCCCUGCAGAGAGUUUGAACCUUCUUGCUGUGAGGCCAAUGCACCACCAUGCAGCCUUCAUCCUGCUGCCCCAAAUUCUUAUUUGAGUAUUAAACGUGGAUAAACUGUUGCUGAAAAUCGUCCCCAACAUAUGAACAGAUCUCUUUUUGAUCAUCUUUAAAGAAGUCAGCUUAGUUUAAAACAACCAAGGGCACAAAAAGGCCUGAAUAUCGGUGCCAAAUUUCAAGUAUUGUGCAUAAAAUGUUCAAUUCCUGCAGGUCUGAUGUAGAAAAAUCCUUUUCAUGUUUGAAAUGUAUUUUUACAAUGAGGCUAUAACACAGCAAAUGUUUGCACGGUUAGGUAAAGGACAGAUCAGCUUGAGACGCUCUCUUUUUCUCCUCUACACACAUCUGGGCAAGUGUGAUGUGAAUAACUGAAGCUCACAUUCAGCAUUCGCUACUUAAACUUUGCAUGAGGUAACUUUACGUUCAGUCAAAACAUCAGCAAGACAACUUGUGAUGUUGCUGAAGCGUGUGUGUGCACAGCAUGGAUUCCAUGUCCCUUAAUCUGAGUGUGAGAGAUUAUAGUUUACACUUGCACCAGAGUUACCAUGCAGUUUGAUUAGGAUUAGCUGGCUAGUUUGCUUGAUAUAAAAAGAUGGAUGCAACAACAGCUGACAUGAUACUAGGAUCUUCAGCUGCAGCCUUGUGUCCAACAAGUUAAAUCAAAGUCUGAUCAUCAUGUAACGUGUACAGUCUAGUUUUAUGUGUUGAUGUCAGGUUCAGAGGUCAAAA
Molecule: long non-coding RNA, 1008 nt
Organism: Notolabrus celidotus (New Zealand spotty)
Lineage: Eukaryota; Metazoa; Chordata; Actinopteri; Labriformes; Labridae
Exons: 3
Source: RefSeq, a predicted model, not a curated record